UUAUAGGCUGAAAUAGUGUGAAGGCAUCAAAUCCCAUGUGAUCUUGGAAGUUAAACAGGAUCAGGUCUGGUUAGUAAUUGGGAAGGAGACUGCCAAAGAAUACUAGAUAGUGUACACU
RNAcentral lists this ribosomal RNA (118 nucleotides) under Anolis carolinensis (green anole). The record is from RNAcentral. Lineage: Eukaryota; Metazoa; Chordata; Lepidosauria; Squamata; Anolidae.